GCCAUUUCUCCCACAUUGGAAAUUCUUCAUCAAACAAACUUGAGAAAAAUGCUGCCAAGUCCAGGGGUUCUGGUUCCCCUUUCAAAUGCAUUGGUUUGGGUUUGGCACAACAAAUAAAAUCUGAGAGGGAUGAAGAGCUUACAGCUGCUAGGUUGCAUAUUGAAGAGCUAGAAUCCCUAGCUGUGAGUCGACAAAAAGAGAUAUUUGCAUUGAAUGCAAGAUUAGCUGCUGCGGAGAGCAUGACCCAUGAUGUCAUUCGAGAUUUAUUGGGAGUGAAAUUGGAUAUGACAAAUUAUGUGUCACUGUUGGAUAAUCAGCAAC
RNAcentral lists this unclassified non-coding RNA (321 nucleotides) under Hevea brasiliensis (rubber tree). The record is from RNAcentral. Lineage: Eukaryota; Viridiplantae; Streptophyta; Magnoliopsida; Malpighiales; Euphorbiaceae.